This 684-nucleotide unclassified non-coding RNA is filed under the name Prototheca cutis. RNAcentral's name for it is "sequence contains 18S rRNA gene, ITS1, 5.8S rRNA gene, ITS2, 28S rRNA gene". The stretch from base 223 to 374 matches the Rfam family "5.8S ribosomal RNA". Lineage: Eukaryota; Viridiplantae; Chlorophyta; Trebouxiophyceae; Chlorellales; Chlorellaceae. The record is from RNAcentral.
GAUCAUUGAAUCUUUUCGAUCACAUUCUUUCAACCCCUUGUCAAGUGAUUGUCUUGAUCAGUCGGUAGUUUUCGUGGGGGGGGAGAGCAUUGGAUUGCCCUUCUCCCCGGCGCUACCACUGCCAACCAACCACACGCUCCCAAUCGUAAACAGCAGACUGAAGACCUUGCGUGUCGACCCGGCGAUCGCUCGCCCAACCGACCGCAAACCAAAACCAGAGACAACUCUCAACAACGGAUAUCUUGGCUCCCGUAUCGAUGAAGAACGCAGCGAAAUGCGAUACGUAGUGUGAAUUGCAGAAAUUCGUGAACCAUCGAAUCUUUGAACGCAACUUGCGCCCUUCCCUCGGGAAGGGCAUGUCUGCCUCAGCGUCGGCUUCAACCCUCGCAGGUCGUUCACUCCUUGUGAGUGAACGUCCUAGCGGACCUGGCCCUCUCACCCCCGGCGUCCCGAUCGGUGGGUGGGCUGAAGCGCAGAGGCUCGAGCAUGGACCCCGUUCGCAGGGCGUCGACUUGGCAGGUAGGGUUCCCUACACCCACUGUCGACGUCCGAGGGGCUCGUGCUGGAGGCCCAGCAGGAACCGAGGCGCGCGGGCGGUCGAGUGGAGGAGGGGAGGGAGCUCUGGAAGCCCCCCCCCCCGACCCGACGACCGGCCCCGCCCUCGGCAACCCACCUCGUCACGAC